UGACCUGCAAAUAUUGGCCCUACCUGCAAAGAUUUACAAAAAGCUGGCCAGAGCUCCAGCACCUCCUUACCAUGAAGCCAUUCCUUUCUGUAUUUCAUGCCAAAGCCCAUGAUUUUAAAUGUGAGGUAAGAAAAUGUUGCUAUGUGACAGAACCACAUUAUCUUAAACCAAACAUCUGCAAACAUCUGGUUCUUUGUUUAUUUAUGUUUCUUACUCAGGUGAAAUGGAGUGGGGCGUAUCAGGAUGGGGCUGGACUAACACUAGGGGAGGAGGUGGAACAGUGCAAUGCCUUCCUCUCUAGGAUUGCAGUGACGACAAAACAUAUGUCAAAAGCAGGACACACAGACAUGCUGACUCUCAUGGCCAUGCGCUGGAAUCAGCAAAAGUUCCGAAAUUUGACAGUUUCACUGACUCGCCGAUUUCAGAAGACCAGAAAAGCUCUGCAAAGCCAGUUACAAAACCUAGAGUCCUUGAAAGCCCAAUUGGCAGUGACAGAGAGCCAACUGGAAGACUGGGUCAGUGAUGUAAAGGAGUGGGCAGACGCAAGAGUAACAACCACAAAUGAUACUGAUGGCUUGGCCAGCAGAAUUGAGGUCCUGGUAGCGAGUAUCAAGAGACGUUCCCAUCGGCUCUACAAAGAUACCGAUGGGAACAAAGGUCGUGCCAGAAUCCGCCGCAAGAUCAGGAGGAGAAGGGCAUCCUGACAUCUGUUGUAGAGAAAUACAACAGAAUGGUUCCAAGCACAGAAAGUCUUUGCAUGGAAACCAUUCUGUCUGGUGAGACAGCUUGGCCAUGGCAGCUACCACACAGUGACUCUGUCGAUCUAAGGACAAAAAGAAGAGCGUUUGACAUCAUCAUGUCAGUAAGAAGACUUGAGGUGGAGCUGAAGAUUCUUGUGGCAGAGAUGGACCACCACUGGAAAUCUCUUUCAACUCGUGCCGAUACCCUCAGAGAGCUGUCCCACAUGUUUGCCAGUGAGACAAUGAGAAAUUCACCAUGUGGCUUAAGUGAAGAGGGUUUGAAAGGUCUGCAGAGCAUCAUCCUGAGAAAGCAACAUAAAGUCAGAGAAAUGAAGGUGCAAGCAAGAGACUGUUACCUGCAAGUUUUGUCUGGAGAAGGCAACAUCAACUUUUUGUACAGUGCUUCAGCUGAUGAGUAUGACAGUGACUGUGAUAUGUCUGAUGACGGACUGUAAUCCACAAGACUGUGACAUCUUUCAUCGUUCUGGAC
This is an RNA transcript of Carassius carassius (crucian carp), 1230 nucleotides long. RefSeq lists it as uncharacterized. Lineage: Eukaryota; Metazoa; Chordata; Actinopteri; Cypriniformes; Cyprinidae. The transcript has 6 exons. The record is from RefSeq and is a predicted model, not a curated record.